This 251-nucleotide ribosomal RNA is filed under the name uncultured bacterium. RNAcentral describes it as "partial 16S ribosomal RNA". It matches the Rfam family "Bacterial small subunit ribosomal RNA", at positions 102 to 353 of the family's 1533-position model. The record is from RNAcentral.
ACGGGUGAGUAAUGUCUGGGAAACUGCCUGAUGGAGGGGGGAUAACUACUGGAAACGGUAGCUAAUACCGCAUAACGUCGCAAGACCAAAGAGGGGGACCUUCGGGCCUCUUGCCAUCGGAUGUGCCCAGAUGGGAUUAGCUAGUAGGUGGGGUAACGGCUCACCUAGGCGACGAUCCCUAGCUGGUCUGAGAGGAUGACCAGCCACACUGGAACUGAGACACGGUCCAGACUCCUACGGGAGGCAGCAUG